UCACCUGUCGCAGGUUGCGUUUGGCAAUGAAUUGGAGUUUGAACUACGUGACUAACCGGGACAUGGGAUGAACCAGCAGAACAAUAAGUAGCAUAUAAAAUACUUCCUACAAGACGAGGAAAUGGUCUUUCUGGACAUAUAAAUUUUCACAUUUAAGGACUAGAAAGGAAAUAUGAAUAAAAAGAGGAAUUGUGUUCAGAAAAAAAAAAUAACGAGGAGAAAUGAGAAUGGUAUAAUUUGGAUAGUUGACUGACCAAUAAAAAACUACUCAGCAUGGAAUUAUCAGAUAGAAGAUGCAUUUGAAUAUGAUUAACUAGGGACUAACCCGGGCUACGCCCGGGAUUUUUAUUUUUUUUUCUAAUUUAAGUUGUUAAAUUAUUUAUAUUUAGGUUAUGAUAUAUAUUUAUAUAAAUGUUAAGAUGCAUGUCAUAAUUAAAAUUUAUUUUCAAAUUUUAAUACGUUAAAUUAACAUAUUUUUUACUAUUUAAAUAUCUUUUUUUUGUAAUUUUGUUGGCUAUCUAGUUAUCAUAUUUAGCAAAACUAUCUGUUGAGUGUUGGAAUAAAUGUUUUAGAUAUUUAAUUAAACUGCAGAGUAUUUUCGGAUCGACCACAUGCUCAACAAUCGAUCGAUCCGUAAAAAGAUGGUCGAUCUCCUUGGCCAGGUAAGUACAAUUUUAGCAAAAAUAUCUUUGAUUUUCAAAUAUUAAGUAUAUAACUAUUUUUUGAAUAUUUUUUUUUUGAAUUGUAUUUUUUGAUUAAAUUAUUGUAUUAUAUAAUGUUUAUGUAAAUAUUUUUUGAUGUUUGAAUUUGUGUUGUUCGUAUACUUAACCAUAAUAUUACAAUUAUUUAAUUUAAGUUAUUAUAAGUAUAAUAUAUGCUAAACCAACUUAAAUUAUAUUUACAAUAUGACCAUCCUAAACCGGUUAAUAAACCAAAAAUAAUACUAAACCAACAUGAACCAAUACCUGAUUCGGCGAGGAAGGAAGUGUUUCGGGAUAAACGCUUGAAUGGUUAUUAACUGUAAUGGUUUGAUCAUGAAAGAGUUAGUAUGAAUAUUAACAAUAAAAUUAUGGAUUAGAUUAAUUUAAAUUUGUAAGAAUAUCUUUGAGUCUAUGAAAAGCAAUUCAAUUCCCAUGAAUAAGUUUGGUUUUUGGAAAUUCCGGAUUUCCCAACAAUGAAAAAACAAUACUAAACAAACAUGAACCAAUACCUGAUUCGGCGAGGAAGGAAGUGUUUCGGGAUAAACGCUUGAAUGGUUAUUAACUGUAAUGGUUUGAUCAUGAAAGAGUUAGUAUGAAUAUUAACAAUAAAAUAAUGGAUUAGAAUAAUUUAAAUUUGUAAAAAUAUCUUUGAGUCUAUGAAAAGCAAUUCAAUUCCCAUGAAUAAGUUUGGCUUUUGGAAGUUGCAGGUUUCCCAACAAUGAAUCUACCUAACAAAAGUUCGUUGUUAUAAAAAAUCUCCUUCAAGGUCAUUAAAGGUUUUUGGGACGGCAAGAGUUGAUGGUUGAACCAUUUUUUUGCUCGAGUGCUUUGAAGUUUUCGUUGAUAGUGUGAGGUUGAUGUUGAUGGAAUAAUGAGUUUUAUAGAGACUUUCUUGAUGUAAA
This 1603-nucleotide long non-coding RNA is filed under the name Brassica rapa (field mustard). RNAcentral describes it as "long non-coding RNA (BRAP_LNC000815)". Lineage: Eukaryota; Viridiplantae; Streptophyta; Magnoliopsida; Brassicales; Brassicaceae. The record is from RNAcentral.